GUUUUAUGAUAUCUGUGUGAACCAUGCAGCCAGUCAGAAAUGGACUUUUUCUCAGAUCAAGAUGGAAGGUUUCCCCCCACCCUCAGAUAAAGGUAUAUAAAGUCCUUCCUUGAAGAAAUGAGGGAGAUUCUUUGAAUGAAACUACAUUUCCCAAAACAUUAAUCUCUUAUUAUGCCUGUUGCAUAACUGGGACUCAAUUGACACUCAGUAUUUGGGAAUGAGAGAACAGAUGGAAAUAUUUUGUUGGCUGAAACAAGUUAUAUAUAAAGAUUUGAGUUUCUAUCUGGCAUGGAGUUUAAUCCCUUCAUUUUUUCAGCAAGUGACAAUGUUCAAUAGAUACGCAAGAGCACUUUACUCUUUAAAAUUGGAAAAUCAUCAACUCUCUAGUGGAAUGAAGACCUUUCUUUUCCUGAUACCCUGUACAACUCAAGUUUACAUGGGAAGUAUGAAUAACUUGGCAGAGUAACAACUACUAUAAGGGCUUACUCAGAGAAGAAUUUCAUAGAUCUGCAUUACACAGAGCUGGUCAUCAAAAAUCACUUGAGAGUCCACUGAAUUCACUAGAUUCAAGGUCAACAGACAACUUGGCCUGUUCAAG
Molecule: long non-coding RNA, 598 nt
Filed under: Bos indicus x Bos taurus (hybrid cattle)
Lineage: Eukaryota; Metazoa; Chordata; Mammalia; Artiodactyla; Bovidae
Description: lncRNA (ENSBIXG00005011363.1)
Source: RNAcentral